Molecule: transfer-messenger RNA, 358 nt
Filed under: uncultured Akkermansia sp.
Lineage: Bacteria; Pseudomonadati; Verrucomicrobiota; Verrucomicrobiia; Verrucomicrobiales; Akkermansiaceae
Rfam family: transfer-messenger RNA
About the family: Bacterial tmRNA, also known as 10Sa RNA or SsrA, is named for its dual tRNA and mRNA-like properties. Its role is to liberate the mRNA from a stalled ribosome.
Source: RNAcentral
GGGGGCGUCCCGGUUUCGACUGGAUUCCUGAGACGCCGGCUGCAUGUGGAGGUUGAUCGGCUGGCCUCCCUAAAAGCCGCUCAAACAUUAAGUGCCUAUUCCAAGAACGAAUACGCCAUGGCUGCGUGAUCAACCGCAACCGAGACUGAUUCCCGACGCCUACUGGGGAUGACGUCUACAGCUUAGUAGGCAGCUCUGCCACCGGGGGCACCGCGGCGCAGAUGUCUUAUAACAGGUCCCUGACCCUCGGAAGGCUGACGCAGAGCUGACCGUCGGUGACUCCUUCAUCUGCGUCUGAACAUGGAGACGCCCGCGUCAACGGUGUUCAGGACAGGGGUUCGACUCCCCUCGCCUCCAU